GACGAACGCUGGCGGCGUGCUUAACACAUGCAAGUCGAGCGGAGUGGCGAACGGGUGAGUAAUACGUGGGUAACUGCCCCCCUCUCUGGGAUAAAAGUUGGAAACGGCUGCUAAUACCGGAUAGAGGGGGAUGACUCGCGUCCUAUCAGCGUGUUGGUGGGGUAGUGGCCUACCAAGGCGGUGACGGGUAGCCGGCCUGAGAGGGUGACAGGCCACUUUGUGCUGAGAUACGGCCCAGGCUCCGACGGGGGGCAGCAGUUGGGGAUAUGGCACAAUGGGUGAAAGCCUGAUGCCGCGACGCCGCGUGGGGGAUGAAGGUUUUCGGGUUGUAAACCUCUGUCGCUAUCGAAAGGGUAGUUGGAGAAGAAGCGCCGGCUAACUACGUGCCAGCAGCCGCGGUAAUUC
This 405-nucleotide ribosomal RNA is filed under the name uncultured bacterium. RNAcentral describes it as "partial 16S ribosomal RNA". It matches the Rfam family "Bacterial small subunit ribosomal RNA", at positions 28 to 526 of the family's 1533-position model. The record is from RNAcentral.